AACGAUAGGUAACUAUAUGAAAAAUACGAUACAGAAAUAUAGAAAGCCUAUCGUAUAUUUCAGAUAACCGAUCUAAUAUUUACGAACCAAAAACACGAUUCAAUUAGAUAGAACUUUUUCUUAUCUGAUUCUAUCGGAUUUUUUGAGCAGGGUGCUCAUCGUGACAGCGAAACUACCACGUCAGGGUAUGGAGCGUGGUUGAAAGGGUCAUUAACAAGACAUCCAAACGUCGCAUCAGUGAGAGCCGCUAUUGAAGCGGCAUUCGCCGAUAUGGACCGUGACACAUUAAAACAGGCCUGCGAACGCUUUAGACUGAGAAUGAAGGCGGUCAUUCAAGCAGGGGGAGGAUAUAUUGAAUGCAAGACAAUUUGCAACUAAGCUAUUCGGACAUGCAAAACAAAGUUAAACAUCCAAAUCAUUAUCUAAUGAACGAACUGAAGACGCUAUUACAUGUAAAGUGGAAAAAGUGCGCAAAAACAUUGUUUGGAGGCUGUUUCAAAAGAAAAUGCAGAAAGGGGAGUAUAAUAUAAGUGGACAGAAAUGUUGCAUUAAAUUGCAAGCAAUGAAACAAACUUAUAAGGCAAUUGAAGACCAUAAUAAAAAAUCGGGAAAUAGUGCAAAAAAAUGGAAAUAUUAUGAUAUUAUGGAUAAUAUAUUUAGUGAAAAGCCAUGGAUAGAACCCUUGUCAGUAGCUGGAACAACCUGUAACUCUAACGACUCUGAAAGUUUUGUUAAAGAAAAAACUUGUGAACAAUCUGGUAAUAAAAUAUAUUAUAAUUUAUAUACUACAAUCUGUAAAUGUAAUUUGCUAUAUAUACUUUAUUUUUUUUAAAUAUAUUUUUACAGCAAAACAGAAAAGAUUAAAUAUGGACAAAUAUUUAGAAAAUUUAUUAGAAAAAAAACGACUAAAGCGUGAAGCAGAUGACAAAAAACAUAACGAAAAAAUUGAACAGCUUGAAAGUAUAAGAAAAUUAUUAGAAAAAUUUAGUGUUCUUAGCCAGAAUAAAUUCUCGGAAACUUUGGAAAAAAGUUUUUUCCGAGUUUUUUUCUUUAACAUAUUUUUCCAGGUGUUUUUUUUUCUUAUAAGAUAAUCUUAUUUUUAUUUUCUUAUACGU
This is a long non-coding RNA of Monomorium pharaonis (pharaoh ant), 1115 nucleotides long. RefSeq lists it as uncharacterized. The transcript is spliced from 4 exons. The record is from RefSeq and is a predicted model, not a curated record. NCBI's taxonomy places the organism in Eukaryota, Metazoa, Arthropoda, Insecta, Hymenoptera, Formicidae.